RNAcentral lists this ribosomal RNA (1369 nucleotides) under Klebsiella pneumoniae. RNAcentral's name for it is "bacterial SSU rRNA". It matches the Rfam family "Bacterial small subunit ribosomal RNA", at positions 192 to 1533 of the family's 1533-position model. The record is from RNAcentral. Lineage: Bacteria; Pseudomonadati; Pseudomonadota; Gammaproteobacteria; Enterobacterales; Enterobacteriaceae.
GUCGCAAGACCAAAGUGGGGGACCUUCGGGCCUCAUGCCAUCAGAUGUGCCCAGAUGGGAUUAGCUAGUAGGUGGGGUAACGGCUCACCUAGGCGACGAUCCCUAGCUGGUCUGAGAGGAUGACCAGCCACACUGGAACUGAGACACGGUCCAGACUCCUACGGGAGGCAGCAGUGGGGAAUAUUGCACAAUGGGCGCAAGCCUGAUGCAGCCAUGCCGCGUGUGUGAAGAAGGCCUUCGGGUUGUAAAGCACUUUCAGCGGGGAGGAAGGCGUUAAGGUUAAUAACCUUGGCGAUUGACGUUACCCGCAGAAGAAGCACCGGCUAACUCCGUGCCAGCAGCCGCGGUAAUACGGAGGGUGCAAGCGUUAAUCGGAAUUACUGGGCGUAAAGCGCACGCAGGCGGUCUGUCAAGUCGGAUGUGAAAUCCCCGGGCUCAACCUGGGAACUGCAUUCGAAACUGGCAGGCUAGAGUCUUGUAGAGGGGGGUAGAAUUCCAGGUGUAGCGGUGAAAUGCGUAGAGAUCUGGAGGAAUACCGGUGGCGAAGGCGGCCCCCUGGACAAAGACUGACGCUCAGGUGCGAAAGCGUGGGGAGCAAACAGGAUUAGAUACCCUGGUAGUCCACGCCGUAAACGAUGUCGAUUUGGAGGUUGUGCCCUUGAGGCGUGGCUUCCGGAGCUAACGCGUUAAAUCGACCGCCUGGGGAGUACGGCCGCAAGGUUAAAACUCAAAUGAAUUGACGGGGGCCCGCACAAGCGGUGGAGCAUGUGGUUUAAUUCGAUGCAACGCGAAGAACCUUACCUGGUCUUGACAUCCACAGAACUUUCCAGAGAUGGAUUGGUGCCUUCGGGAACUGUGAGACAGGUGCUGCAUGGCUGUCGUCAGCUCGUGUUGUGAAAUGUUGGGUUAAGUCCCGCAACGAGCGCAACCCUUAUCCUUUGUUGCCAGCGGUCCGGCCGGGAACUCAAAGGAGACUGCCAGUGAUAAACUGGAGGAAGGUGGGGAUGACGUCAAGUCAUCAUGGCCCUUACGACCAGGGCUACACACGUGCUACAAUGGCAUAUACAAAGAGAAGCGACCUCGCGAGAGCAAGCGGACCUCAUAAAGUAUGUCGUAGUCCGGAUUGGAGUCUGCAACUCGACUCCAUGAAGUCGGAAUCGCUAGUAAUCGUAGAUCAGAAUGCUACGGUGAAUACGUUCCCGGGCCUUGUACACACCGCCCGUCACACCAUGGGAGUGGGUUGCAAAAGAAGUAGGUAGCUUAACCUUCGGGAGGGCGCUUACCACUUUGUGAUUCAUGACUGGGGUGAAGUCGUAACAAGGUAACCGUAGGGGAACCUGCGGUUGGAUCACCUCCUUACCUUAAAGAA